Molecule: unclassified non-coding RNA, 649 nt
Filed under: Hevea brasiliensis (rubber tree)
Lineage: Eukaryota; Viridiplantae; Streptophyta; Magnoliopsida; Malpighiales; Euphorbiaceae
Source: RNAcentral
GAGAGAGAGAGAGAGAUGGGAUUCCCUGGGCAUCCAAAGAUAAUAGAAACAAUACUAAAGUAUAUAAAAAAUAAUGCACCACAAACCCCGAGGGAACUGUAAAGUGUAAAUCAUUUUAAACACAAAUUAUUAACAUCCAACACAUGUAAAAUAUCUUCAUUUAAGGCAAGUAUAACAAGGCAAGUGAUUUAACAUAACCCAAAUCAGGAAACUGUUAAACUAGGGCUCUACUCCAGAAUCAACAUAAAUCAACAAAACCUAGAUAUGACCUGUUUUUGUCCAAUUCCAUUGAAGCACUACUCUGACCAAGCAGUAUAAACACUUUAAACCAGAAGGGGUAUGCCUUUUAGGAAUAACAUGACUUUAACGCAGAUGGACACAGGAUGAGAAUAGUCUGGACAUGUUCACAGCUUCAGAUCAAAUAGUUGAUUCUUAAUAAAUGGCUAGCAAAGAACCAACAGAUGCAUAUAUAGAGAAAUGAUAUUUACUUUCACAGAAGGAUGAAUCAAUGCUCUUGUGGAUGUGUUAUGCGCAUCCAAAACAGUAUAAAUGGCUUAAAAACUAUUAUCAAAGUAUGAAGAAAGUGAUACCAAUAACCAGAUGCAUAAAAUUUAAAUUGAACUCACAUAUCAACUUCGUUGAAUGUAGU